Mesocricetus auratus (golden hamster) is the source of this 1262-nucleotide long non-coding RNA. RefSeq lists it as uncharacterized. The record is from RefSeq and is a predicted model, not a curated record. The transcript is spliced from 4 exons. NCBI's taxonomy places the organism in Eukaryota, Metazoa, Chordata, Mammalia, Rodentia, Cricetidae.
GAGGAAGGAGUGAUUGCUGCUGCCUCUAAACCACAGGGUGAUCCAACAUGUAAACCGGCAGCAGUCGAGUAGACACCGCCACACCCGGAUGGUGCCCCAGGCUUUGGAGAUUGGCCAGACCAAGGUCAAGGGCUGGGCUAGCUAAGCAGGCUGCCGGGCAGUUGACCACCAUCCCUGUGCAGUUCCUGCACAGCCUAGACAGUGACUGACUGACUUCUGGACCUCACCACCUCUGUCUCAGUCACUCAUGUUGUCUCCACCCUCUCCCGAGGAUCAGGGGCAGGAGGUGCCUACAUCUGGGACCUCUAGGGGACUGGCCAGGUGCUGAGACAUCAGUUUCCAUAUUCUACAAACACAGGCGAUCCAUCUUCCCUUGCUCCCUCUCAAGAUUGAGGGAGAGACCUGGAAGAGUCAGGGUAGACACAGCCCACUGACGUGCCUCCUGAAGUGUGGGCUCAGGCUACCUGGGAGGUCAGCGGCCUUGUGCCCAGUGGUCAGGGAGCGCCACCCAGAGGGCAUCGUGGGCCAUUGCAUGAAAAGAGGCCUGCUGCCUUGCCUGGUUCUGGAUAUCCGAAGGUGGCCAGGGGCCAAAGAACGGAAGAGCGCCAGCCCAGAAUUUCCCAGUAGAGAACAUAACCCAGGACGCGGUAAUUGUUUGAACAGCAGUAACAGGGCUGCUUCUUCUACAAGCUGCUCCCUGCCCAUCCCCCUGCUUUGCUCCAGCUUUAUGGUCUUCCUCCAGGAGCUGGGAGGUAGCAGACUCCAGCUGAGACUUGUUGGGGAGCUGGUCUGCCGCCAGAGCCCACUCCCUGGGGCUCCGCCUUCUGCUUCCCUCCUCUGCCACCACCUGCCCUAAGUUUUGUGGUGUUUUGUUUUGCAGACGUUUUGACUUCACACCAGGUGUCCAUUAACUACCCAGAGGGGGAAAAAAUCCUGGUGCUUCUGAGAGGUGACUGUCCCUCUGCCAAAAUUCUGUUGGUCUCCCUGAAAUCUUAGCUGACACAGGCUGGACACAGGCCAGGAGUUGGGGAACUAGAUGGACACCCCGCCACCUCACCCACUUUCCUUUCUUCUAGCCACACAUCCUGAAGCUUCAAGUUUAAUGGGGCACGCUGGGAACUUCCAGCUAUUUCUGUCUGCCUGCACUGCCCUGAGUGCCAUCCAUUCUUGGGGCCUCAACAUUGAGUUGCUUUUCCACCUUGCCUUUUCAAAGGGUGAAGUCUUGUCAGGUGCCUUUAGUCUACUAAACUGGCAAACACGCU